UGAUCUAGCCAUGCCGCGUGAGUGAUGAAGGCCUUAGGGUCGUAAAGCUCUUUCGCCUGGGAAGAUAAUGACUGUACCAGGUAAAGAAACCCCGGCUAACUCCGUGCCAGCAGCCGCGGUAAUACGGAGGGGGUUAGCGUUGUUCGGAAUUACUGGGCGUAAAGCGCGCGUAGGCGGACUGGAAAGUUGGGGGUGAAAUCCCGGGGCUCAACCUCGGAACUGCCUUCAAAACUCCCAGUCUAGAGUUCGAGAGAGGUGAGUGGAAUUCCGAGUGUAGAGGUGAAAUUCGUAGAUAUUCGGAGGAACACCAGUGGCGAAGGCGGCUCACUGGCUCGAUACUGACGCUGAGGUGCGAAAGUGUGGGGAGCAAACAGGAUUAGAUACCCUGGUAGUCCACACCGUAAACGAUGAAUGCCAGUCGUCGGGUAGCAUGCUCUUCGGUGACACACCUAACGGAUUAAGCAUUCCGCCUGGGGAGUACGGUCGCAAGAUUAAAACUCAA
Molecule: ribosomal RNA, 502 nt
Filed under: Ruegeria atlantica
Lineage: Bacteria; Pseudomonadati; Pseudomonadota; Alphaproteobacteria; Rhodobacterales; Roseobacteraceae
Description: bacterial SSU rRNA
Rfam family: Bacterial small subunit ribosomal RNA
Source: RNAcentral